This is a long non-coding RNA of Nanorana parkeri, 92 nucleotides long. RefSeq lists it as uncharacterized. Lineage: Eukaryota; Metazoa; Chordata; Amphibia; Anura; Dicroglossidae. The record is from RefSeq and is a predicted model, not a curated record. The transcript has 3 exons.
CAUGUGCAAAAAAAAAAAGAAAUUAAGUCCGAUUUGCAAUUUCCAUGUAAGUAGCACAUCAUCUGCACUCAGUGCAUCUUCAGGAUUUUUUU